Molecule: RNase P RNA, 355 nt
Filed under: Actinomycetota bacterium
Lineage: Bacteria; Bacillati; Actinomycetota
Description: RNase P RNA component class A
Rfam family: Bacterial RNase P class A
About the family: Ribonuclease P (RNase P) is a ubiquitous endoribonuclease, found in archaea, bacteria and eukarya as well as chloroplasts and mitochondria. Its best characterised activity is the generation of mature 5'-ends of tRNAs by cleaving the 5'-leader elements of precursor-tRNAs. Cellular RNase Ps are ribonucleoproteins.
Source: RNAcentral
UGAGUCGGCCGGGUGGCCGCGGCACGCACAUGUGUGUCGAGGAAAGUCGGGACUCCGCAGGGCAGGGUGCUGGCGAGAGCCAGGUCGGGGCGACCUGACGGAUCAGUGCAACAGAGAGAGUCCGCCGAUGGGCCCGGGUGACCGGGCCACAGGCAAGGGUGAAACGGUGCGGUAAGAGCGCACCAGCGCCCGGGGUGACCCGGACGGCUGGCAAACCCCACCCGGAGCAAGGCCGAGCAGAGGGCACGGACGGCCCGUUCGCCCUUCGGGGCACCCUCGGGUAGGCCGCGUAGAUGGAUGGUCACCAGCUCGCCGAGGCGAGCCACAGGAUCCCGCUUACAGGCCGGCUCACCGU